UUACACUACGACAAAUUGUAUGUAUUCUUUGACAGCCAAUUUUAUAUCAAAACUAUUGAAAGUAAAUACCUUUGAUUCAUAAUUAACCCAAUGUACAAGAAAUUCUCCGGAGUAAAAAAGGAAAAUGUGUCAGAAAUCGGCCUGUUAAGAACUCAUGGAGCAGAGAGUAUGAAGGAUAAAGCACUACUGACGUUUCUGAAAGUCGAACAUGCAAUUCUAGCUCCAUAAUUUGACAUAACGCUCUUUAGGGCGGGCGAGGUAGAGUUGACCUGUUUAUGUGGAGAGAGUCGUGUAGCCCACACAACUGAGUUGGAUGAUGAAACUGACUAACUCCAGACAUACAGGAUGUGAUAGGCCAAGUUCCUCGUUAUUUUCUUCCUCAUCUAGUUCCUUAUCUAGUUUGCCGGAGUUUUAUUGUGCAGCCAACUAAUAUUUACUGAAACACAAUAUUAAGGU
Physella acuta is the source of this 456-nucleotide long non-coding RNA. RefSeq lists it as uncharacterized. NCBI's taxonomy places the organism in Eukaryota, Metazoa, Mollusca, Gastropoda, Physidae. The record is from RefSeq and is a predicted model, not a curated record.